GCAAACUGUCCUUCCUUGACCUAAAUAAACAUACCCGCCUCCCCACCCCUUUGUCAUAACAUCCAUUGGGUGGAGCCUGCAUAUCCAGACACGCUCAUAAUGGGAAGGAAACCUGCCCCCCAGCACCAGUACUUGGGUGGGAAGCAAGAGACCCAGUGCUUCUCCUCUGGGAGGAGUUUCAACAGGUGAAAGUGAAGUCGCUCAGUCGUGUCCGACUCUUUGUGACCCCAUGGACUGCAGCCUACCGGGCUCCUCCAUCCAUGGGAUUUUCCAGGCAGACGCUGUACUGUCUGAGCCACCAGGGAAGUCCUUGAACAGCACCGGGCACAACGUCUAGAGCGCCCCCCGGAUGUUUGUGGAGUGAAUCGAUCCGUUAAAAAAAGAGGCAGAGUGAAGGGAAGGAAGUGAAGAGGGAAGGAAGGAAGAAAGACCUCCGGGCGCACCAUCGGAUCUUACUGGAACAGGAAACGGUCCCUGCGGAAGCCAGCAGCUCACUUGCUCUGGGCAGGAAUGGGAGCUGGGCAGCUAGGUUGGCUGGCUCUCUCCUGCUGAUCACAAGCUCCGGCAGGCAAUUAUAUACGUC
Long non-coding RNA from Bos taurus (domestic cattle), 583 nucleotides. The record is from Ensembl. NCBI's taxonomy places the organism in Eukaryota, Metazoa, Chordata, Mammalia, Artiodactyla, Bovidae.